UACAGAGGGUGCAAGCGUUGUUCGGAAUUACUGGGCGUAAAGCGCGUGUAGGCGGCGUGGUAAGUCGGGUGUGAAAUCCUUCGGCUCAACCGAAGAAGUGCACUCGAUACUGCCUCGCUUGAGUAUCGGAGGGGAUGGCGGAAUUCCCGGUGUAGAGGUGAAAUUCGUAGAUAUCGGGAGGAACACCUGUGGCGAAGGCGGCCAUCUGGACGAAUACUGACGCUGAGACGCGAAAGCGUGGGUAGCAAACAGG
RNAcentral lists this ribosomal RNA (253 nucleotides) under uncultured bacterium. RNAcentral describes it as "partial 16S ribosomal RNA". It matches the Rfam family "Bacterial small subunit ribosomal RNA", at positions 524 to 776 of the family's 1533-position model. The record is from RNAcentral.